This 418-nucleotide ribosomal RNA is filed under the name uncultured bacterium. Its description in RNAcentral is "bacterial SSU rRNA". It matches the Rfam family "Bacterial small subunit ribosomal RNA", at positions 358 to 774 of the family's 1533-position model. The record is from RNAcentral.
GGAAUAUUGGUCAAUGGACGCAAGUCUGAACCAGCCAUGCCGCGUGAAGGAUGAAGGUCCUCUGGAUUGUAAACUUCUUUUAUCUGGGACGAAAACGGGAUUUUUAUCUCAAUUGACGGUACCAGAGGAAUAAGCACCGGCUAACUCCGUGCCAGCAGCCGCGGUAAUACGGAGGGUGCGAGCGUUAGCCGGAUUUACUGGGUUUAAGGGGUGCGUAGGUGGGAUUAUAAGUCAGUGGUGAAAUCUCCGAGCUUAACUUGGAAACUGCCGUUGAUACUAUAGGUCUUGAAUUAUCUGGAGGUGAGCGGAAUAUGUCAUGUAGCAGUGAAAUGCUUAGAUAUGACAUAGAACACCAAUUGCGAAGGCAGCUUACUACGUAUAAAUUGACGCUGAAGCACGAAAGCGUGGGGAUCAAACA